AUGAACGCUGGCGGCGUGCCUAAUACCUGCAAGUCGAGCGAACAGACGAGGAGCUUGCUCCUCUGACGUUAGCGGCGGACGGGUGAGUAACACGUGGAUAACCUACCUAUAAGACUGGGAUAACUUCGGGAAACCGGGGCUAAUACCGGAUAAUAUAUUGAACCGCAUGGUUCAAUAGUGAAAGACGGUUUUGCUGUCACUUAUAGAUGGAUCCGCGCCGCAUUAGCUAGUUGGUAAGGUAACGGCUUACCAAGGCAACGAUGCGUAGCCGACCUGAGAGGGUGAUCGGCCACACUGGAACUGAGACACGGUCCAGACUCCUACGGGAGGCAGCAGUAGGGAAUCUUCCGCAAUGGGCGAAAGCCUGACGGAGCAACGCCGCGUGAGUGAUGAAGGUCUUCGGAUCGUAAAACUCUGUUAUUAGGGAAGAACAAAUGUGUAAGUAACUAUGCACGUCUUGACGGUACCUAAUCAGAAAGCCACGGCUAACUACGUG
This 496-nucleotide ribosomal RNA is filed under the name uncultured bacterium. RNAcentral describes it as "partial 16S ribosomal RNA". It matches the Rfam family "Bacterial small subunit ribosomal RNA", at positions 29 to 507 of the family's 1533-position model. The record is from RNAcentral.